This 1366-nucleotide long non-coding RNA is filed under the name Callithrix jacchus (white-tufted-ear marmoset). Its description in RNAcentral is "lncRNA (ENSCJAG00000063953.2)". The record is from RNAcentral. Lineage: Eukaryota; Metazoa; Chordata; Mammalia; Primates; Cebidae.
CAUGUGUGUACCUAUGCAACAAUCCUGCAUGAUCUGCACAUGUACCCCAGAACCUAAAGUACAAUUAAAAAAAAGAAAAAGGUAUCACUCAAUAAAUGUUAGUUGUCAUUUUUACUACUACUGAAAACAUUUUGAAGCCGCAUAAUGUAUUUAUAUUCCACAAUUAAACACAUGUAUUUCAUAUGGCAGUCACAUGGGUUGGUUGGCUGGUUGAUUGACAAUGUUCCUUGAUGUCCGAAACCAUGUCUUUUUCUUUUUAUAGAUCAAAAUUCCAACAGAAUUUCCAGAUAGCACCAAGUAACAGAACUAAAUUGACACAUAUACCUAUGGAACUAAAAGAUACCAGAUUUUCAAAGUUAUGCCAAAUCUAAGUAAGGAACUUAGUAUAGAAAUUUUUAUAAAAGACGUCAUCUUCCAUCCUCUUGAAGACACCUUUGUUAGAUUGAAAGGAGCUACAUAUUCUUUGCCAUUCUUUGCCAUUUAUUCUAAUUAUCAAUAUAGACUAUUGCCCCUCCUCUUAGAUCUGGAUGGUCCUGUGAUUGGUUUUGAGUGAUAGAAUACAGCAGAAGAGAUGCUGUGGUAAUUCUGAGGCAGGGUCCUAAAAGAUCUGCACGCUCUGCCUUCACAUCUUGAAAUAUUUCUUUUUGGAAUCACCAUGCUCUCCAAAGCCCAAAUAAACUGGGAAAAGGCCAUAUGAGAGGAGCGAAGACAUGUCGUUUGUUCAUCCCCAGACAAGCACCCACCUGCAACCAACAACUGCCAGCGUAUCAGCCAGCUGUCUUGAGUGUUUCAGCCCCAAUCAAUCCUCCAGGCUUUCAGAGAUGAAAAUCUGUUGGAUGACACGCAGCUUACCCUUUCAAAGUUCCUCAAGGACCCCGGGGAAUGCAGCCAUCUGGAAUUUGCUGUCAUGCUGUGAUUUCUGCAGGUUUGUUUAACUUUUAAUCUCUCCAGUCACAUCUUUUAUUAUCCACUCUGUGCAUAAUUUUUGCAUUAUAUAGUCCUUUUUUAAACAGUGAGCUGAAAUUGCUCAAUUUAAUCACAAAUGUGCCUCUGAAAGACUUGAUGUCUUAAAAGUUAUUUCCCUCCUUUCUCAUGUUGAAAAAACAAUACUGUGGCUGUAUCAGAUUUGCUGCUCACAAAUCAGUCCCAUCCUCCUAAGAAUGCAGCAGAAAGCAGAAUUUAAUGAAAGCUAGGUACUUUUAGAAUUAAUUAAUAGCAUUUAAGAUAGUUUUGAUUUCUCUAAUUCUUUGCUAUCUGUAUUUUUGUGGGUGUUAAAGUCCAUUUAUUUUAGCUGUUUCUAAUAUUUCUAAACCACAGAAUAUUAAGACCAGAAAAAAGUUGCAGUUUACAUAAUUAUGGACUGGAC